GGCAACCCACUCAGAUUCCGUUUCAUAGUGUGGAGGUUUUGUUCUUUCACUCUGCAGUAAAUCUUACUGCUGCUCAGUGUUUGGGUCUGUGCUACCUUUAUGAGCUGUAACACUCACGGUGGAAGCCUGCAGUCUCACUCCUGAGGCCAGGGAGACCACGAACCCACCAGGAGGAAUGAACAACUCCGGAGGCGCAGACUUAAGAGCUGUAACACUCACCGCGAAGGUCUGUAGUUUCACUUUUGAACCAGCGAGACCAUGAACCCGCCAGAAAGAAAAAACUGCCAACACAGCCGGACAUCAGAAGGAACAAACUGGGGACACGCUGCCUUUAAGAAACAUAACAGAACUUUUUCUGAGAGCCUAUCGUGUCCAUGGAGAGCAGCUGAGGUAAAUCCUGGAGGUGACUGUCCCCCUAGGAGAUGAUGUGGAUGGGGAAAUAGUUCAUACGCAGCUCAGCGACCUUGAAGCGGCAUCCGAGGAGAUGUGGCCACGGGGCAGGCGACCGACACCAGCGAGUCCAGAGGGCCAGCGUGUGCACCACUGUGUGUCUCCAGAGACUUCAGGAAGCAGCCACCACGCCCGAGGAAUGCAGGAAGAUGGACACACGGCUGGGGAAGUACAAUGAAAGGCCAAGUAGGCAGCCUGUUCUCCUCAGAUCAGUCCCCCACGAACACUCAUUCCCGAGGACUCAUCCAAUACUAAUAAGAGAAUGCUCUUGUUUUUGAAGAAUUUUCUGAAAGCCAUCCUGACAAAUUAAGUAGAGUAUGCUGAAGAUAGUCAGACUUUGUUUUUAAGAAUUGAAUAUUCUGGAAGAGGCUCUUCAGUCCAAUCUUUAGUUCUCUCCACAGAGCAAACGAAGUGAAGUGCUGAAGGCCUGGAGCCCGAGCUGUUCCCACACGGACUCCAGGACAGUUAAGGCAGGGUUGCCUUAACUAAAUCUCUGACAACUGUUUCUUCUGUCUUUCUCCUAAAAAUGGAAUGCAGGCCAUCUAUUCUAGGGAAAUAAAGGAUUCUAGUUAUGUGAAUCCAGGAGCUUUUUUUGUUUGUUUGUUUGAGACAAAGUCUCGCUCUAUCGCCCAGGUUGAAGUGCAGUGGCUCCAUCUCGGCUCACUGCAACCUCCGCC
RNAcentral lists this long non-coding RNA (1127 nucleotides) under Homo sapiens (human). Its description in RNAcentral is "non-protein coding lnc-PTPN2-2:10". The record is from RNAcentral. Lineage: Eukaryota; Metazoa; Chordata; Mammalia; Primates; Hominidae.